RNAcentral lists this ribosomal RNA (253 nucleotides) under uncultured bacterium. RNAcentral's name for it is "partial 16S ribosomal RNA". It matches the Rfam family "Bacterial small subunit ribosomal RNA", at positions 524 to 776 of the family's 1533-position model. The record is from RNAcentral.
UACGUAGGGUGCAGGCGUUAAUCGGAAUUACUGGGCGUAAAGCGUGCGCAGGCGGUUUGCUAAGCCAGGUGUGAAAUCCCCGGGCUCAACCUGGGAACUGCAUUUGAAACUGGCGGGCUUGAGUAUGGCAGAGGGGGGUGGAAUUCCGCGUGUAGCAGUGAAAUGCGUAGAGAUGCGGAGGAACACCGAUGGCGAAGGCAGCCCCCUGGGCCAAUACUGACGCUCAUGCACGAAAGCGUGGGGAGCAAACAGG